UACGUAGGGCGCGAGCGUUGUCCGGAUUUAUUGGGCGUAAAGAGCUCGUAGGCGGCUCGUUGCGUCAACCGUGAAAACCCGGGGCUUAACUUCGGGCUUGCGGUUGAUACGGGCGGGCUGGAGUUCGGUAGGGGAGACUGGAAUUCCUGGUGUAGCGGUGAAAUGCGCAGAUAUCGGGAGGAACACCAAUGGCGAAGGCAGCUCGCUGGGACGUUACUGACGCUGAGACGCGAAAGCGUGGGGAGCAAACAGG
RNAcentral lists this ribosomal RNA (253 nucleotides) under uncultured bacterium. RNAcentral's name for it is "partial 16S ribosomal RNA". It matches the Rfam family "Bacterial small subunit ribosomal RNA", at positions 524 to 776 of the family's 1533-position model. The record is from RNAcentral.